GAACUUUCUAGAACUCAUAGGGAGAGAGGUUUGAAGAUGAGAGCUCUUAGCCAAGAGAAACACAACUAGCACUCAAUUCAACAUCUAAUCCAACAUGAGCACACUCUCUUAUUACACUCUAGCUUCUCUAGGCCUAUAUCAACUCCUUUUUUUCCCUUAUACUCAUCAUCAAGCAUCCACACAUUCAAAUCAACCAACUCUCACAUUCAUUAAGCACAAGACAUCAAGUGAAUUCUUGCAAAUGGUCAGUUGGUCCAAGUCAUUUGGUUGGGUAAGGGAAGGCUUUUAGUCAAGUGAGUCCAGAGGUUCAAAAUAUAUGAUCUUUAAGGUGGUUUACUCUCAAAACAAGUAGCCUUGACAUUGCACAUAAUAUAUCUAAGAAAGGGACCAACUCAUGCAUACAAUGCUCAAUCUCCAUUGUUCUACCCUUUUCCCAAACAUACAAGUUACACAAUCAUUCCCAAAUGUCAAACCCAACUCACAUCUCUCACCAAAAGAUCCUAAGAACAUUAACUCCUUCUCUUUGAAAUU
This 531-nucleotide long non-coding RNA is filed under the name Brassica napus (rape). RNAcentral describes it as "long non-coding RNA (BNAP_LNC016964)". Lineage: Eukaryota; Viridiplantae; Streptophyta; Magnoliopsida; Brassicales; Brassicaceae. The record is from RNAcentral.